RNAcentral lists this ribosomal RNA (327 nucleotides) under Vibrio parahaemolyticus. Its description in RNAcentral is "partial 23S ribosomal RNA". It matches the Rfam family "Bacterial large subunit ribosomal RNA", at positions 882 to 1209 of the family's 2925-position model. Lineage: Bacteria; Pseudomonadati; Pseudomonadota; Gammaproteobacteria; Vibrionales; Vibrionaceae. The record is from RNAcentral.
UCGGACGAAUACUACUGGGGGUAGAGCACUGUUAAGGCUAGGGGGUCAUCCCGACUUACCAACCCUUUGCAAACUCCGAAUACCAGUAAGUACUAUCCGGGAGACACACGGCGGGUGCUAACGUCCGUCGUGGAGAGGGAAACAACCCAGACCGCCAGCUAAGGUCCCAAAUUACUACUAAGUGGGAAACGAUGUGGGAAGGCUCAGACAGCCAGGAUGUUGGCUUAGAAGCAGCCAUCAUUUAAAGAAAGCGUAAUAGCUCACUGGUCGAGUCGGCCUGCGCGGAAGAUGUAACGGGGCUAAGUAGUAAACCGAAGCUGCGGCAAU